AUGCUAAACCACCUUCUGUCCGGAAAGUCUGGGACAUCUCAUUCUCUGUGGAGAGUCUCCAGUAAAGGCUGGAGGGAAAGCGACAAUACCAGACGAGAGCUUUGGAGGAGAAGAAACCACUCAUCUCCCAUGGGCAUCCUUAAGCUAUUGAGCCCAACAAACAUCUUGCAACCCAAACUCCAUCACACAUCAGCUUCCAGAAAACUCAACCCAUGCCAGGAGGGGAGGACUGUGACCCUGCCAAGAGGGAGAGCAAGGGAACUUUGCAGAGAACAGGUGCUCACAUUUCGGUGGCAGAGAAUUAAGGAGUCCACAGGCAUCCACGGGGCAGGAGAACAAGCGGAAUUCUGGAGCCUCAGGAAGACAAGACAGGCGUUGGCAACCAGAUGGGGCAAUGAGCCCGAUAUGACGCCACUAGGUGCCCCUAACCCGCUCCCUGGGGCAGGAUGUCAGGUCCGGUGUGGGCAGCUGAAGCCAGUAGGUGAGAGGGCAGCUUUCAGAUUCUGAGAUAUCUUUGAAUUAUGACCUCUGAGGAAG
This 537-nucleotide long non-coding RNA is filed under the name Capra hircus (goat). RNAcentral's name for it is "lncRNA (ENSCHIG00010019312.1)". The record is from RNAcentral. Lineage: Eukaryota; Metazoa; Chordata; Mammalia; Artiodactyla; Bovidae.